CCUACGGGAGACAGCAGUGAGGAAUAUUGGACAAUGGCCGGGAGGCUGAACCAGCCAAGUCGCGUGAGGGAAGACGGCCCUACGGGUUGUAAACCUCUUUUGUCAGGGAGCAAGUUGGAGGUCGGGACCGUCUGUGAGAGUACCUGAACAAAAAGCAACGGCUAACCUCGUUCCAGCAGCCGCGCUAAUCCGGAGGAUGCGAGCGUUAUGCGGUUUGAUUGGGUUUAAAGUGUGCGCAGGCGGAGGCACAAGUCAGCGGUAAAGUCGCGGGGCUCAACCCCGCUCCGCCGUUGAAACUGUGUCCCUUGAGUGCGCGAAGGGUAGGCGGAAUGCGUGGUGUAGCGGUGAAAUGCAUAGAUAUCACGCAGAACUCCGAUCGCGAAGGCAGCCUACCGGCGCGCAACUGACGCUCAUGCACGAAAGCGUGGGUAUCGAACAGGAUUAGAUACCCUAGUAGUC
RNAcentral lists this ribosomal RNA (459 nucleotides) under uncultured bacterium. Its description in RNAcentral is "partial 16S ribosomal RNA". It matches the Rfam family "Bacterial small subunit ribosomal RNA", at positions 338 to 795 of the family's 1533-position model. The record is from RNAcentral.